CAAGAUUCAACUUGGCCGGGGCAGACACGCUGUGUGGGAAAAUUAUCUUUUUUAUUUCAAAGCAAGGAAAUGUUGAACACAAACACGAAAUUCCAAAGAGUGACCCUCUGGGGUGAGUGGGGUGGGGGCAGAGCAGGGGCAGAAUGGAGACAGGACCCCUACGCUGAUGCAGGUUUGGGGGAUGUUUUAAUUCUUGGGCUGGAUAGUAGAUGCACGGGUGUUUGUUAAAUUUCCAAUAGAUGAGUGAAUGAGUAAAUGAAGGAGUAAGUGAGAGGCCUGCGGAAAGCAAACCAGCAAAUAUCAAACCGGCGCCCCUCUGAGCCCGGCUCCGUCCCUCUCGGGUGAUUCUGGUGUCCCUGCUGGAAGUGAGGCCUGCAGCCAGUACCCCAUGGGGCUGUCCCCCAGCUCUGCAUUCUAGAAAGGCCUCAGCAGGGUGGAGCACAGCGGAAGUCACCGCUGGGUUGGGGGGUGAGGAAUGGAGACGUGGAAGGGGCCGGGUCCCCAGGACUUGUUGGCUGAGGGACAUGAGGAAGGCAGGCACCUUGCUGGGGGCACGGGUGGGCAGAGACUGUUCUCCAGGGCAGGAGCCGUGAGAAAGUGGCCUUGGGAGGAGGAGGCCGUGGUGACGCAGAGGGCCUGCCCUGUGCCCCCGCUGAUGGGAGCGGCCAUCAGGACACAGACCGGCAGACAAGAUAACAAGCAGUGUCCGCGAGUCAGCCCGACUCUCCCCCAGCCCCAGCAAGGCCUGGCUCGGCGCCCUGGACCACCCAGCUGCUGAAUAUCACACCAGGACCACCAAGCCUGCCUCUGCCCCAGGCCUGGAAGCUUCUCCCCACUCUCCCUGUGGCCAUCUCCUUCACACCCUUCAGUUCCAGCAUGGUCACCUCCUCCGUGAAGCCCUCCGUGAGUCCCCCAGCCAUCUCUGUGACUUCUCCUGGUUAUUUUCCAGAAUGACCAUGGACUUGUUUUUUCAUUUGUUCACUGUCCGUCUCUUCCUCUGGGAGGGAAAAUCCACGAAGUCAGGGACCUGGAGUUAUUUGCAGCUGUGUCAGUGCUGCUGGGGCGAGGCAUACACCUGUGACGGGACCUCAGGACGGGGACACGGGUCUGCAUGAGGAUUGUCUAACAGUCCCUACAAGACGCUGGGGCCACCAUGUACACUGGAGUCCUCUGGCAGCCAGUGUUCCCCGUUGUGCGGGGCUGGCCGUGACCACGCUGGAAACCCCCCGAUCCCCUUGUUGCUCCUGCCCUCCUGCAAGCACCUCCGCCGCCUCGACAAGCACAGCCUGGCCCCAGGGCCUCUCCCUCCCCUGGCCCCAGUCACCCCUACCUCCUCACCACCCCCUGUCAUCUCCCAUUGCUCCCCCUCCUUGCCAAGCUGCUCCUGACUCCCUGUCCCCUCCUCGAGCCAUCGGGAAGGCCUGCGUCCUGGCAGGCUCCAGUCUCUGCGGCUGCCCCUCCGGCAGGCCGCCGAGAAUCAGCGCGGCAUUGGGCCAGGCACGGUUUCCACGAGCUUCCUCCUUCUGAUCCUCCCCUCCGCCCCCCCCACCAAGCUCCCCAAAAUCUCUCACUCACACCCCAAAUCACCUGGGCCCCCCACCUCAAACCAGAGGCCAUCGGGGCAGAACCCAGCAAUUGUCACCGCCCUCUCACGAAGCGUCCCGUGCCCCCCGGAGCACAUGUCCACAGCGAGGCCCUUCACGGCUCUCAGAUCAGCUCCCCGCCUGCAGGUCCCAGCCGGCCCUGCUGUCGCUGCAGGUUGAGCUUCUCAUGAGUGAAGGCCCCGGUCACUCUGACGCCGCCAAAUAGUGGAGACAACACCAAGCUCUAAAGAUUUUCAAAGGGAGAGAGACAAAAAAAAAUGAAGGCCAGGUGUGGUGGCUCACACCUUUAAUCCCAGCACUUUGGGAGGCUGCGUGGGGAGCCUCGAGCUCAGGAGUUCGGGACCAGCCUGGGCAACAAAGUGUCUCUACAAAACAAUAUGAAAAUUAACCGGGUGUGGUGGUGUAUGUCUGUGGUCCCAGCUAGGGAGGUAGAGCUAGGCUGAGGCAAGAGGACUGCUUGAGCCCGGGAGGCAGAGGUUGCAGUCAGCCCAGAUCACGCCUCUGCACUCCAUCCUGGGCAGCAGAGCAAGACUCCAUCUCAAAAAAUAAAAGCUUUGAGAAUUUAAAGAAAGAAAAAAAGAAGAAGAAGGCCAGGCUGAUGACUCACGCCUGUAAUCUCAGGAUUUGGGAAGACCAAGGUGGGCGGAUCACUUGAGGCCAGGAGUUUGAGACCAGCCUGGGCAACAUAGCAAAACCCUAUCUCUACAAAUUAAAAAAAAAAAAUAAAGUAAAAACUAAAAGCAAACAAAAUAAAUAGCCAAGCUCUCCGACCCAAGGCCUUUUGUGCCGACCGACGCCCAUCUUCUCUGACCUGGCCCAUGUCUCUUUGCGCCUGCUGGAGAGCUUCUUCCACUCUCAGCUGGCCCUGAACCCUGGGCUCCCCCAGUACUGCCUCCCCACCCCGCC
RNAcentral lists this long non-coding RNA (2510 nucleotides) under Homo sapiens (human). Its description in RNAcentral is "HSALNT0361001". Lineage: Eukaryota; Metazoa; Chordata; Mammalia; Primates; Hominidae. The record is from RNAcentral.